Molecule: ribosomal RNA, 474 nt
Filed under: Paraheterorhabdus compactus
Lineage: Eukaryota; Metazoa; Arthropoda; Copepoda; Calanoida; Heterorhabdidae
Description: partial 12S ribosomal RNA
Source: RNAcentral
UUCUAUUUAAAAUAAAACAUAUAAUUUUUUAAUUUAGCUWCCUAAAAAAUAAAGUUAGUCAUAUAACCCUAUUUUUAUUUAAAGCUAUUUAUUUUAGAAAAAAUUGUAAUACACCAGGGGUAGACGCCUGCUAUUCUUUUAUAAAAUUAAUUUUAGGAGUAAAAGAGAUUUCUCUAAAUUAAAAUAAAAUGGCGGUAUUUCUAUCCCGGGCGGGGGAGCUUGAUUAUAACGGAUAGUCCCCCUUUUAUCUCUCUAAUUUUUAUUUUUUGUGUGGUUGUUGUAAAAAAAAGCUUUAUUGCUAAUUUUAUUUCAGAUAACAUGAAGAAAUAAAUUAGGUUAAUUUAGCUACAAUAAUUAUAUUAAUUAACACAAUCCCUAAAAAAUAUAAAUAGGACUCGCUAGUAAAAAUUUUAAUUAAAAAGUCAUUUGAAAAGGUUUUAGUUUAUGUACAUAUCGUCCGUCACUCUCAUAAAC